Molecule: ribosomal RNA, 253 nt
Filed under: uncultured bacterium
Lineage: Bacteria
Description: partial 16S ribosomal RNA
Rfam family: Bacterial small subunit ribosomal RNA
Source: RNAcentral
UACAGAGGGGGCAAGCGUUGUUCGGAAUUACUGGGCGUAAAGGGCGCGUAGGCGGCCUUCUAAGUCGAACGUGAAAUCCCCGGGCUCAACCCGGGAACUGCGUCCGAUACUGGAAGGCUUGAAUCCGGGAGAGGGAUGUGGAAUUCCAGGUGUAGCGGUGAAAUGCGUAGAUAUCUGGAGGAACACCGGUGGCGAAGGCGGCUCUCUGGGACGGUACUGACGCUGAGACGCGAAAGCGUGGGGAGCGAACAGG